This 452-nucleotide long non-coding RNA is filed under the name Pan troglodytes (chimpanzee). Its description in RNAcentral is "lincRNA". Lineage: Eukaryota; Metazoa; Chordata; Mammalia; Primates; Hominidae. The record is from RNAcentral.
UUGGCUCUGGCCGGGGGCGCUGCAAUGGGCUCAGCCUUCUAGGGGUGGCGGGUGAAGGCCUACACCUGCCCCAGGACGGCCAGGUCCACCAGCACCUGCAACAGACGGAGAACUGAAGGAGCAUCUUGAAGCUGUGGCUGUCUUGAAGGUGUCGCCGCUUGUCCUCACGAGCACCAUUUUGAUUCUCGUGCCCUGUGUGCAUGGGUGGCCAGCGUUGCUGGUAGGGCUCCUGCACGCUCAGAGUGGCCUUGGCCAGGAAGUCCGGGGUUUCCGCAGGCAGAGUGGAUGAACAAGAUGCCACAGACAUGUGAGAAAUGAAACUUUUGACAAGAUCUGUGAAAAGAAUGGUAUUUUAUUGUAUUAAGAUUCUCCAGAGGGACAGAACUGAUCGGAUAUAUGUGUAUAUGAAAGGGAGUUUAUUAGGGAGAAUUGGCUCACAUGAUCAUAAGGCA